CAAGGAGUGUUCGAUUGGACUCCUUUUCACACAAUGAACAACCAGCUUAGAACUGAUGCGGGCAAGGGGGAUCCGACUGUUUAAUUGAAACAAAGUAUUGCGAUGCCCUGAAAGGAUGUUGACACAAUGUGAUUUCUGCCCAGUGCUCUGAAUGUCAAAGUGAGGAGAUUCAACUAAGCGCGGGUAAACGGCGGGAGUAACUAUGACUCUCUUAAGGUAGCCAAAUGCCUCGUCAUCCAAUUAGUGACGCGCAUGAAUGGAUUAAUGAGAUUCCUACUGUCCCAAUCUACUGUCCAGCGAAACCACAGCCAAGGGAACGGGCUUGGGUGAGUCAGCGGGGAAAGAAGACCCUGUUGAGCUUGACUCUAAUCCGACUUUGUGAAAUGACUUAGGAGGAGUAGGAUAUGUGGGAGCUCAGGUGAUCUUGAAAUACCACUACUUUUAAUGUCACUUUACUUACUCUAUCCAACUGUGCCCUGCCUCACAGCAGGUUUUUGCUUUCAAGGUUGCUCUUUUGGCGUGUUGAUUUGCGUAGAAGACGUCGUCCGGUGGGGAGUUUGGCUGGGGCGGCACAU
Molecule: ribosomal RNA, 575 nt
Filed under: Gambierdiscus excentricus
Lineage: Eukaryota; Dinophyceae; Gonyaulacales; Pyrocystaceae
Description: partial large subunit ribosomal RNA
Rfam family: Eukaryotic large subunit ribosomal RNA
Source: RNAcentral